GAAUAUUGGACAAUGGGGGCAACCCUGAUCCAGCCAUGCCGCGUGUGUGAAGAAGGCCUUUUGGUUGUAAAGCACUUUAAGCAGUGAAGAAGACUCCAGGGUUAAUACCCAGCGACGAUGACAUUAGCUGCAGAAUAAGCACCGGCCAACUCUGUGCCAGCAGCCGCGGUAAUACAGAGGGUGCAAGCGGUAAUCGGAAUUACUGGGCGUAAAGCGAGCGUAGGUGGCUUGAUAAGUCAGAUGUGAAAUCCCCGGGCUAAACCUGGGAACUGCAUCUGGUACUGUUAGGCUAGAAUAGUUGAGAGGAAGGUAGAAUUCCAGGUGUAGCGGUGAAAUGCGUAGAGAUCUGGAGGAAUACCGAUGGCGAAGGCAGCCUUCUGGCAUCAUAUUGACACUGAGGUUCGAAAGCGUGGGUAGCAAA
This 421-nucleotide ribosomal RNA is filed under the name uncultured bacterium. Its description in RNAcentral is "partial 16S ribosomal RNA". It matches the Rfam family "Bacterial small subunit ribosomal RNA", at positions 359 to 772 of the family's 1533-position model. The record is from RNAcentral.